GAGGCUGUAGCUCAGUGGUAGAGCACUUGCCUCAUAUGCAUGAGGCCGUAGGUUCGAUCUUCAGCACCA
Molecule: transfer RNA, 69 nt
Filed under: Ictidomys tridecemlineatus (thirteen-lined ground squirrel)
Lineage: Eukaryota; Metazoa; Chordata; Mammalia; Rodentia; Sciuridae
Description: Spermophilus tridecemlineatus (thirteen-lined ground squirrel) tRNA
Rfam family: tRNA
About the family: Transfer RNA (tRNA) molecules are approximately 80 nucleotides in length. Their secondary structure includes four short double-helical elements and three loops (D, anti-codon, and T loops). Further hydrogen bonds mediate the characteristic L-shaped molecular structure. tRNAs have two regions of fundamental functional importance: the anti-codon, which is responsible for specific mRNA codon recognition, and the 3' end, to which the tRNAs corresponding amino acid is attached (by aminoacyl-tRNA synthetases). tRNAs cope with the degeneracy of the genetic code in two manners: having more than one tRNA (with a specific anti-codon) for a particular amino acid; and 'wobble' base-pairing, i.e. permitting non-standard base-pairing at the 3rd anti-codon position.
Source: Rfam by way of RNAcentral